RNAcentral lists this ribosomal RNA (506 nucleotides) under uncultured bacterium. RNAcentral's name for it is "partial 16S ribosomal RNA". It matches the Rfam family "Bacterial small subunit ribosomal RNA", at positions 29 to 523 of the family's 1533-position model. The record is from RNAcentral.
AGUGAACGCUGGCGGUAGGCCUAACACAUGCAAGUCGAACGGCAGCACAGGAGAGCUUGCUCUCUGGGUGGCGAGUGGCGGACGGGUGAGGAAUACAUCGGAAUCUACUCUGUCGGGGGGGAUAACGUAGGGAAACUUACGCUAAUACCGCAUACGACCUACGGGUGAAAGCAGGGGACCUUCGGGCCUUGCGCGAUUGAAUGAGCCGAGGUCGGAUUAGCUAGUUGGCGGGGUAAAGGCCCACCAAGGCGACGAUCCGUAGCUGGUCUGAGAGGAUGAUCAGCCACACUGGAACUGAGACACGGUCCAGACUCCUACGGGAGGCAGCAGUGGGGAAUAUUGGACAAUGGGCGCAAGCCUGAUCCAGCCAUACCGCGUGGGUGAAGAAGGCCUUCGGGUUGUAAAGCCCUUUUGUUGGGAAAGAAAUCCAGCUGGCUAAUACCCGGUUGGGAUGACGGUACCCAAAGAAUAAGCACCGGCUAACUUCGUGCCAGCAGCCGCAGUAA